RNAcentral lists this ribosomal RNA (468 nucleotides) under uncultured bacterium. Its description in RNAcentral is "partial 16S ribosomal RNA". It matches the Rfam family "Bacterial small subunit ribosomal RNA", at positions 28 to 507 of the family's 1533-position model. The record is from RNAcentral.
GACGAACGCUGGCGGCGUGCUUAACACAUGCAAGUCGAACGGAAAGGCCCUGCUUUUGUGGGGUGCUCGAGUGGCGAACGGGUGAGUAACACGUGAGUAACCUGCCCUUGACUUUGGGAUAACUUCAGGAAACUGGGGCUAAUACCCGAUAGGAGCUCCUGCUGCAUGGUGGGGGUUGGAAAGUUUCGGCUGUUGGGGAUGGACUCGCGGCUUAUCGGCUUGUUGGUGGGGUAGUGGCUUACCAAGUGUUUGACGGGUAGCCGGCCUGUGAGGGUGACCGGCCACAGUGGGACUGAGAUACGGCGCAGACUCCUACGGGAGGCAACAGUGGGAAAUAUUGCACAAUGGGCGGAAGCCUGAUGCAGCAACGCCGCGUGCGGGAUGACGGCCUUCGGGUUGUGAACCGCUUUCGCCUGUGACGAAGCGUGAGUGACGGUAAUGGGUAAAGAAGCACCGGCUAACUACGUG